GUGCUCGCUUCAGCAGCACAUAUACUAAAAUUAGAAUGAUACAGAGAUUAGCAUGGCCCUAGCACAAGGAUGACAGGCAAAUUCAUGAAGCAUUCCAUUAAAAA
This is a small nuclear RNA of Macaca fascicularis (crab-eating macaque), 104 nucleotides long. The record is from Ensembl. NCBI's taxonomy places the organism in Eukaryota, Metazoa, Chordata, Mammalia, Primates, Cercopithecidae.